Molecule: ribosomal RNA, 528 nt
Filed under: Devadatta cyanocephala
Lineage: Eukaryota; Metazoa; Arthropoda; Insecta; Odonata; Devadattidae
Description: partial 16S ribosomal RNA
Rfam family: Bacterial large subunit ribosomal RNA
Source: RNAcentral
GUCUUCUCGGUAAUGUUUGAGAAGUCGGACCUGCCCGGUGAAUAUUAUUUUUAACGGCCGCGGUAUAUUGACUGUGCAAAGGUAGCAUAAUCAUUAGUUCUUUAAUAGGGAACUGGUAUGAAUGGUUUGACGAAAUAUUAACUGUCUCGGUUUAAUUUAUAUAAUUUAUCUUUUUGGUUAAAAGACCUAAAUUUAUUUGGAAGACGAGAAGACCCUAUAGAGCUUUAUAUACUUUUAUAAUUUAAUUUAAUAAUUAGUUUUGUUUUAAAUGUUUAUUUUGUUGGGGUGACGAUUAAAUAUAUUUAACUUUAUUAUAAAUAUUACAUUUAUUUAUGGUUUAUUAGAUCCUUUAUUAUUGAUUAUUAGGAUAAGUUACCUUAGGGAUAACAGCGUUAUUUUCUUUUAGAGUUCAAAUUUACAAGAAAGAUUGCGACCUCGAUGUUGGAUUAAGAUAAUAGUUGGGUGCAGUUGCUUAACUAAUAGGUCUGUUCGACCUUUAAUUUCUUACAUGAUCUGAGUUCAAACCGG